RNAcentral lists this long non-coding RNA (417 nucleotides) under Hordeum vulgare. RNAcentral describes it as "long non-coding RNA (HVUL_LNC016936)". Lineage: Eukaryota; Viridiplantae; Streptophyta; Magnoliopsida; Poales; Poaceae. The record is from RNAcentral.
CCUCAUGGAGAAGAUCAAGGACAAGCUCCCUGGUGGCCACGGUGACCAGCAGACCACAGCUGGCACCUAUGGGCAGCAGGGACACACCGGCACCGCGGCGCAUGGCACCCCGGCCGGCGGCGGCACCUAUGACCAGGAGGGACACACCGGGAUGUCUGGCAUGGGGGCGCACGACACCCACGCCACGGGCGGCGCCUAUGGGCAGCAUGCACACACCGGAGGGACCGGCACGGGGACGCACGGAACCGGCGAGAAGAAGGGCGUCAUGGAGAACAUCAAGGACAAGCUUCCUGGUGGCCACGGUGACCAUCAGAAGACGAGUGACACGUACGGGCACCAGGAAGACACCGAAAUGACUGGCAUGGGGAGGCAUAGCACCCCUGCCACCGGCGGUUCCUAUGGGCAGCAUGUACACAC